CGAAUGCUGACAUAAGUAACGAUAAAGCGGGUGAAAAGCCCGCUCGCCGGAAGACCAAGGGUUCCUGUCCAACGUUAAUCGGGGCAGGGUGAGUCGACCCCUAAGGCGAGGCCGAAAGGCGUAGUCGAUGGGAAACAGGUUAAUAUUCCUGUACUUGGUGUUACUGCGAAGGGGGGACGGAGAAGGCUAUGUUGGCCGGGCGACGGUUGUCCCGGUUUAAGCGUGUAGGCUGGUUUUCCAGGCAAAUCCGGAAAAUCAAGGCUGAGGCGUGAUGACGAGGCACUACGGUGCUGAAGCAACAAAUGCCCUGCUUCCAGGAAAAGCCUCUAAGCAUCAGGUAACAUCAAAUCGUACCCCAAACCGACACAGGUGGUCAGGUAGAGAAUACCAAGGCGCUUGAGAGAACUCGGGUGAAGGAACUAGGCAAAAUGGUGCCGUAACUUCGGGAGAAGGCACGCUGAUAUGUAGGUGAGGUCCCUCGCGGAUGGAGCUGAAAUCAGUCGAAGAUACCAGCUGGCUGCAACUGUUUAUUAAAAACACAGCACUGUGCAAACACGAAAGUGGACGUAUACGGUGUGACGCCUGCCCGGUGCCGGAAGGUUAAUUGAUGGGGUUAGCGGUAACGCGAAGCUCUUGAUCGAAGCCCCGGUAAACGGCGGCCGUAACUAUAACGGUCCUAAGGUAGCGAAAUUCCUUGUCGGGUAAGUUCCGACCUGCACGAAUGGCGUAAUGAUGGCCAGGCUGUCUCCACCCGAGACUCAGUGAAAUUGAACUCGCUGUGAAGAUGCAGUGUACCCGCGGCAAGACGGAAAGACCCCGUGAACCUUUACUAUAGCUUGACACUGAACAUUGAGCCUUGAUGUGUAGGAUAGGUGGGAGGCUUUGAAGUGUGGACGCCAGUCUGCAUGGAGCCGGCCUUGAAAUACCACCCUUUAAUGUUUGAUGUUCUAACGUUGGCCCCUGAUCGGGGUUGCGGACAGUGUCUGGUGGGUAGUUUGACUGGGGCGGUCUCCUCCUAAAGAGUAACGGAGGAGCACGAAGGUUGGCUAAUCCUGGUCGGACAUCAGGAGGUUAGUGCAAUGGCAUAAGCCAGCUUGACUGCGAGCGUGACGGCGCGAGCAGGUGCGAAAGCAGGUCAUAGUGAUCCGGUGGUUCUGAAUGGAAGGGCCAUCGCUCAACGGAUAAAAGGUACUCCGGGGAUAACAGGCUGAUACCGCCCAAGAGUUCAUAUCGACGGCGGUGUUUGGCACCUCGAUGUCGGCUCAUCACAUCCUGGGGCUGAAGUAGGUCCCAAGGGUAUGGCUGUUCGCCAUUUAAAGUGGUACGCGAGCUGGGUUUAGAACGUCGUGAGACAGUUCGGUCCCUAUCUGCCGUGGGCGCUGGAGAACUGAGGGGGGCUGCUCCUAGUACGAGAGGACCGGAGUGGACGCAUCACUGGUGUUCGGGUUGUCAUGCCAAUGGCACUGCCCGGUAGCUAAAUGCGGAAGAGAUAAGUGCUGAAAGCAUCUAAGCACGAAACUUGCCCCGAGAUGAGUUCUCCCUGACUCCUUGAGAGUCCUGAAGGAACGUUGAAGACGACGACGUUGAUAGGCCGGGUGUGUAAGCGCAGCGAUGCGUUGAGCUAACCGGUACUAAUGAACCGUGAGG
RNAcentral lists this ribosomal RNA (1647 nucleotides) under Escherichia coli. RNAcentral describes it as "partial 23S ribosomal RNA". It matches the Rfam family "Bacterial large subunit ribosomal RNA", at positions 1291 to 2915 of the family's 2925-position model. Lineage: Bacteria; Pseudomonadati; Pseudomonadota; Gammaproteobacteria; Enterobacterales; Enterobacteriaceae. The record is from RNAcentral.